UCUCAAUUUCAGUAAGGUGCUUUGUCUGU
Molecule: non-coding RNA, 29 nt
Filed under: Rattus norvegicus (Norway rat)
Lineage: Eukaryota; Metazoa; Chordata; Mammalia; Rodentia; Muridae
Source: RNAcentral